Molecule: small RNA, 156 nt
Filed under: Chrysemys picta bellii (western painted turtle)
Lineage: Eukaryota; Metazoa; Chordata; Testudines; Emydidae
Description: TUC338 (ENSCPBG00000007478.1)
Source: RNAcentral
CCGACCAUCCCUGGAGACUGAAGUCUUCCGUUUAUGCCCAGAACGGAUACAGUCUAGGCAGAAGCAGUGCAGGCUUCCCCACACUGUUGAUGGGGAGACCACUACUUGAGGGGAAAGGGUAGCUAGUUCUCUAGAUUGACUCAGAACGUAAGAACG